This is a long non-coding RNA of Oncorhynchus keta (chum salmon), 948 nucleotides long. RefSeq lists it as uncharacterized. NCBI's taxonomy places the organism in Eukaryota, Metazoa, Chordata, Actinopteri, Salmoniformes, Salmonidae. The transcript has 3 exons. The record is from RefSeq and is a predicted model, not a curated record.
AUGUUCUGGUGUCAUUAGGUCAAUUCAGAAGGCUGAUUGAGGACCUUAUGUUCUGGUGUCACUAGGUCAAUUCAGAAGGCUGAUUGAGGACCUUGUGUUCUGGUGUCACUAGGUCAAUUCAGAAGGCUGAUUGAGGACCUUAUGUUCUGGUGUCACUAGGUCAAUUCAGAAGGCUGAUUGAGGACCUUAUGUUCUGGUGUCACUAGGUCAAUUCAGAAGGUUGAUUGAGGACCUUAUGUUCUGGUGUCACUAGGUCAAUUCAGAAGGUUGAUUGAGGACCUUGUGUUCUGGUGUCACUAGGUCAAUUCAGAAGGUUGAUUGAGGACCUUGUGUUCUGGUGUCACUAGGUCAAUUCAGAAGGUUGAUUGAGGACCUUAUGUUCUGGUGUCACUAGGUCAAUUCAGAAGGUUGAUUGAGGACCUUAUGUUCUGGUGUCACUAGGUCAAUUCAGAAGGUUGAUUGAGGACCUUAUGUUCUGGUGUCACUAGGUCAAUUCAGAAGGUUGAUUGAGGACCUUAUGUUCUGGUGUCACUAGGUCAAUUCAGAAGGUUGAUUGAGGACCUUAUGUUCUGGUGUCACUAGGUUAAUUCAGAAGGUUGAUUGAGGACCUUGUGUUCUGGUGUCACUAGGUCAAUUCAGAAGGCUGAUUGAGGACCUUAUGAUCUGGUGUCACUAGGUCAACUCAGAAGGCUGAUUGAGGACCUUGUGUCACUAGGUCAAUUCAGAAGGCUGAUUGAGGACCUUAUGAUCUGGUGUCACUAGGUCAAUUCAGAAGGCUGAUUGAGGACCUUAUUACUGAUGAAUGUGAUGUUCUGGUGUCACUAGGUCAAUUCAGAAGGCUGAUUGAGGACCUUAUGUUCUGGUGUCACUAGGUCAAUUCAGAAGGUUGAUUGAGGACCUUAUGUUCUGGUGUCACUAGGUCAAUUCAGAAGGCUGAUUGAGGACCUU